RNAcentral lists this ribosomal RNA (498 nucleotides) under uncultured bacterium. RNAcentral's name for it is "partial 16S ribosomal RNA". It matches the Rfam family "Bacterial small subunit ribosomal RNA", at positions 29 to 507 of the family's 1533-position model. The record is from RNAcentral.
ACGAACGCUGGCGGCGUGCCUAAUACAUGCAAGUCGAGCGGACCGAACAGGAGCUUGCUCUUGUUCGGUUAGCGGCGGACGGGUGAGUAACACGUGGGUAACCUGCCCGUAAGACCGGGAUAACUCCGGGAAACCGGAGCUAAUACCGGAUAACACCGAAGACCGCAUGGUCUUUGGUUGAAAGGCGGCUUCGGCUGCCACUUACGGAUGGGCCCGCGGCGCAUUAGCUAGUUGGUGAGGUAACGGCUCACCAAGGCGACGAUGCGUAGCCGGCCUGAGAGGGUGACCGGCCACACUGGGACUGAGACACGGCCCAGACUCCUACGGGAGGCAGCAGUAGGGAAUCUUCCGCAAUGGACGAAAGUCUGACGGAGCGACGCCGCGUGAGCGAAGAAGGUCUUCGGAUCGUAAAGCUCUGUUGUUAGGGAAGAAGAAGCGUCGUUCGAACAGGGCGGCGCGGUGACGGUACCUAACGAGAAAGCCCCGGCUAACUACGUG